Long non-coding RNA from Aedes aegypti (yellow fever mosquito), 961 nucleotides. RefSeq lists it as uncharacterized. The transcript has 3 exons. NCBI's taxonomy places the organism in Eukaryota, Metazoa, Arthropoda, Insecta, Diptera, Culicidae. The record is from RefSeq and is a predicted model, not a curated record.
AGGCGAGAUAAAACAAAAUUACCGAUGCACCCACCGCACACUUAUCGUUUAACUCGGCUGUCGUCGUCUGGGUCGAUCAUUAUCUCAUUAUUCUAUUUAUCUUAUUUAUCGAAGAAAACACACAGCGAAGGCAUGCAGCACCCUACAUAUCUACAUUCUACAUACAUCUUCCCCAUAAUAAUCGCAUCGGUGAAACUCCACUUCACAAGGUCGCUCGCUCAGUCGUCAGUCGGUCGAAGUUUUCACACCACUUGGGGAGGAUUCGCCCAGUUUAGCAUCCCCCAUUAGUCGUUGUCGUCUUCUUCGAGUUUGAGUUCAUCAUUUGUCAAACCGCGUUAUCAGUUAUCGUGUGUCGCGCGUGGAAUCCGUGGAAACUGGGCGAUAGACUCUUUCGGUUGAAGUUUAUAACAACAUACCGACAUACUUCACGGAUUCUGCGGUGGAACGACGAGAGGGAACACGUCUCCUCUCAAGGGAACGAGCUAAAAUUAAUUGCGAUCUAGAUUAGUGCUCCAAUUUUCCCCUUCCGUCGCGAGUGCGCGUGUAAACCUCCUGAGGCUCUGAGCAGCUGUUGGCGUAGAUACCUAAGGAACAGUUUGAGAAAAGUUUGCACAUUAGGAGGAAUUGUUUCAAACUCUCCGAGAGCUCAUGCCCUCCCCAGCAGUGGAUGAAAACCUGACCACCUGUUUUGUCGCUGCUGGACCACCAUGCGUCUCCAUUUCCACCAGUCGGCCCAGCGUGCCUCCCGCCUUCACCAGCGUCAUCACAUGGUCUGCAGCCGGUGUUGAUGGUUCACGGUGCUUCCAAGAUCGUUAUUAUCAGAAAAAAAUCACUAUCAAUGUUUUGCUCACCUGUCGUUUUGUAUGGUGGUUACAAACAGGUUUCGCCUCUUUCUAUUCAGUGCAAUUGUGCAUCUUAUUUUUAGAAAUUUACAAAAUCCUGACCUGUCUUUCUUUGACUU